CCUACGGGAGGCAGCAGUGGGGAAUAUUGCGCAAUGGGCGGAAGCCUGACGCAGCGACGCCGCGUGGGGGAUGACGGCCUUCGGGUUGUAAACCUCUUUCAGCAGGGACGAAGCGAAAGUGACGGUACCUGCAGAAGAAGCACCGGCCAACUACGUGCCAGCAGCCGCGGUAAUACGUAGGGUGCAAGCGUUGUCCGGAAUUAUUGGGCGUAAAGAGCUCGUAGGCGGUUCGUCGCGUCGGCUGUGAAAACCCGGAGCUCAACUCCGGGCCUGCAGUCGAUACGGGCGGACUGGAGUGUUGCAGGGGAGACUGGAAUUCCUGGUGUAGCGGUGAAAUGCGCAGAUAUCAGGAGGAACACCGGUGGCGAAGGCGGGUCUCUGGGCAACUACUGACGCUGAGGAGCGAAAGCGUGGGGAGCGAACAGGAUUAGAUACCCUGGUAGUCCACGCCGUAAACGUUGGGCGCUAGGUGUGGGGCUCAUUCCACGAGUUCCGUGCCGCAGCUAACGCAUUAAGCGCCCCGCCUGGGGAGUACGGCCGCAAGGCUAAAACUCAAAGGAAUUGACGGGGGCCCGCACAAGCGGCGGAGCAUGUUGCUUAAUUCGAUGCAACGCGAAGAACCUUACCUAGGCUUGACAUGCACGGAAAUCUCGCAGAGAUGCGGGGUCCGUAAGGGCCGUGCACAGGUGGUGCAUGGUUGUCGUCAGCUCGUGUCGUGAGAUGUUGGGUUAAGUCCCGCAACGAGCGCAACCCUCGUUCCAUGUUGCCAGCACGUGAUGGUGGGGACUCAUGGGAGACUGCCGGGGUCAACUCGGAGGAAGGUGGGGAUGACGUCAAAUCAUCAUGCCUCUUAUGUCUAGGGCUGCAAACAUGCUACAAUGGCCGGUACAAAGGGCUGCGAUACCGCGAGGUGGAGCGAAUCCCAAAGCCGGUCUCAGUUCGGAUUGGGUCUGCAACUCGACCCAUGAAGUGGAGUUCCUAGUAUCGCAGAUCACCACGUCUCGUUGAAUACGUUC
RNAcentral lists this ribosomal RNA (1016 nucleotides) under uncultured bacterium. Its description in RNAcentral is "bacterial SSU rRNA". It matches the Rfam family "Bacterial small subunit ribosomal RNA", at positions 338 to 1373 of the family's 1533-position model. The record is from RNAcentral.